GGAGUUUUGUGGUCCGAAGAGUAUUUUGUUUAGUAGACUGUCACGAUAGUCCGGGCAAAGAGGCUGAAGAAGGGCAGUAGGCAGAUGUUGUCCAGUGUAGCAGGUAAUUUAUUUAUAAAGAAUUGUGACAAAAAAAAGCUAAAUUCUCCUGCUUAAAAAGUCUCAGGCAAGUCAAACAACAAUGGUCUCCAAUGGAAUGUACCAGAUACCAGGGACAGGGACAUCAGGACAGCUCAGCAGCGGUUACACUUCCUGAGGAUAUUCUGGAAGAACAACCUGGACUUCAAACUACUGCUUACUUUCUACCACUUAUCCAUUGGGAGCCUGCUGACCUACUGUGGCAUGGUAAGGCAUGGCAGCUACACUAAGGAGGACAGGGAGAAGGCUUCAGAGGGUGUUCAAGAAGGCACAGAGGAUCACUGGCUGGCCUUUCCCCUCCCUGACCUUCACCUCCUGUUGCCUCAGCAGAGCACACAACAUCACCAAAGACAGCUCACACCUGGGCUUUGGACUGCUUGACCUUUUGCCCUCCAGGAUGUGCUACAGGUGAUUAAAAUUAAACAUCAGCAGGCUAAAGAACAGUUUCUUUCUAAAGGCAGUGAUCCCACAGUACAUAGCACCCCCUUCAUAUUAUGAUUUUCAAUUUUUACUACAGUAAAAAUUGAAAAUCAUGUAAAAUAACAACACACGUGAUAAUUUUACCUUUUUUUACUUUAAACUCAGAUAUUUCUACGUUGCAAAACAACAAAUUUUUAUUUUGUUUUACAUUUGUAUAAUGACAAUAAAAGCAUUCUAUUCUAUUCUAUUCUAUUCUGACCAUAAUGACCAAAUACAGUAACAUUCACU
Molecule: long non-coding RNA, 846 nt
Organism: Girardinichthys multiradiatus
Lineage: Eukaryota; Metazoa; Chordata; Actinopteri; Cyprinodontiformes; Goodeidae
Exons: 3
Source: RefSeq, a predicted model, not a curated record